AACCUCCGCAAUGUGAGAAAUCGCGACGGGGGGAUCCCAAGUGCCAUUCUUAACGGGAUGGCUUUUCAUUAGUGUAAAGAGCUUUUGGAAUAAGGGCUGGGCAAGACCGGUGUCAGCCGCCGCGGUAACACCGGCAGCUCUAGUGGUAGCAGUUUUUAUUGGGCCUAAAGCGUCCGUAGCCGGUUUAAUAAGUCUCUGGUGAAAUCCUGUAGCUUAACUGUGGGAAUUGCUGGAGAUACUAUUAGACUUGAGACCGGGAGAGGUUAGAGGUACUCCCAGGGUAGAGGUGAAAUUCUGUAAUCCUGGGAGGACCGCCUGUUGCGAAGGCGUCUAACUGGAACGGUUCUGACGGUGAGGGACGAAAGUUAGGGGCGCGAACCGGAUUAGAUACCCGGGUAGUCCUAACUGUAAACGAUGCGGACUUGGUGUUGGGGUGGCUUUGAGCUGCUCCAGUGCCGAAGGGAAGCUGUUAAGUCCGCCGCCUGGGAAGUACGGUCGCAAGACUGAAACUUAAAGGAAUG
RNAcentral lists this ribosomal RNA (521 nucleotides) under uncultured bacterium. RNAcentral describes it as "bacterial SSU rRNA". It matches the Rfam family "Archaeal small subunit ribosomal RNA", at positions 345 to 866 of the family's 1478-position model. The record is from RNAcentral.